This 1343-nucleotide ribosomal RNA is filed under the name uncultured bacterium. RNAcentral describes it as "16S ribosomal RNA". It matches the Rfam family "Bacterial small subunit ribosomal RNA", at positions 28 to 1378 of the family's 1533-position model. The record is from RNAcentral.
GACGAACGCUGGCGGCGUGCUUAACACAUGCAAGUCGAACGGAAAGGCCCUGCUUUUGUGGGGUGCUCGAGUGGCGAACGGGUGAGUAACACGUGAGUAACCUGCCCUUGACUUUGGGAUAACUUCAGGAAACUGGGGCUAAUACCGGAUAGGAGCUCCUGCUGCAUGGUGGGGGUUGGAAAGUUUCGGCGGUUGGGGAUGGACUCGCGGCUUAUCAGCUUGUUGGUGGGGUAGUGGCUUACCAAGGCUUUGACGGGUAGCCGGCCUGAGAGGGUGACCGGCCACAUUGGGACUGAGAUACGGCCCAGACUCCUACGGGAGGCAGCAGUGGGGAAUAUUGCACAAUGGGCGGAAGCCUGAUGCAGCAACGCCGCGUGCGGGAUGACGGCCUUCGGGUUGUAAACCGCUUUCGCCUGUGACGAAGCGUGAGUGACGGUAAUGGGUAAAGAAGCACCGGCUAACUACGUGCCAGCAGCCGCGGUGAUACGUAGGGUGCGAGCGUUGUCCGGAUUUAUUGGGCGUAAAGGGCUCGUAGGUGGUUGAUCGCGUCGGAAGUGUAAUCUUGGGGCUUAACCCUGAGCGUGCUUUCGAUACGGGUUGACUUGAGGAAGAUAGGGGAGAAUGGAAUUCCUGGUGGAGCGGUGGAAUGCGCAGAUAUCAGGAGGAACACCAGUGGCGAAGGCGGUUCUCUGGGCCUUUCCUGACGCUGAGGAGCGAAAGCGUGGGGAGCGAACAGGCUUAGAUACCCUGGUAGUCCACGCUGUAAACGGUGGGUACUAGGUGUGGGGUCCAUUCCACGGGUUCCGUGCCGUAGCUAACGCUUUAAGUACCCCGCCUGGGGAGUACGGCCGCAAGGCUAAAACUCAAAGGAAUUGACGGGGCCCCGCACAAGCGGCGGAGCAUGCGGAUUAAUUCGAUGCAACGCGUAGAACCUUACCUGGGUUUGACAUGGAUCGGGAGCGCUCAGAGAUGGGUGUGCCUCUUUUGGGGUCGGUUCACAGGUGGUGCAUGGCUGUCGUCAGCUCGUGUCGUGAGAUGUUGGGUUAAGUCCCGCAACGAGCGCAACCCUUGUUCACUGUUGCCAGCACGUUAUGGUGGGGACUCAGUGGAGACCGCCGGGGUCAACUCGGAGGAAGGUGGGGAUGACGUCAAGUCAUCAUGCCCCUUAUGUCCAGGGCUUCACGCAUGCUACAAUGGCUGGUACAGAGAGUGGCGAGCCUGUGAGGGUGAGCGAAUCUCGGAAAGCCGGUCUCAGUUCGGAUUGGGGUCUGCAACUCGACCUCAUGAAGUCGGAGUCGCUAGUAAUCGCAGAUCAGCAACGCUGCGGUGAAUACGUUCCCGGG